RNAcentral lists this long non-coding RNA (291 nucleotides) under Setaria italica (foxtail millet). RNAcentral's name for it is "long non-coding RNA (SITA_LNC003919)". Lineage: Eukaryota; Viridiplantae; Streptophyta; Magnoliopsida; Poales; Poaceae. The record is from RNAcentral.
CAGAUGAAAUUCAAGCGCCUGUUGGAAGAGGAUGUGGCUUUUUCAUCGGCAACAAACUGUGGCAUAGAUGGCCAUGGCGUUGCUCUCUCAGACGAUGGUGCAGGGGCCGGGGUACUCGUCCUCGAUGGGGAUGUAGCACGGCUUCAUGUAUGGUGGCGGGCAUGGCGGGGGGCACGGCGGGGGGCAAGGCGGGGGGCACGGGGGGAGGCACGGCUUCGGGCACUGCGGACACGGCAAGGGGCAACAGCACUUCUUCUUCUUCUUCUCUUCUUCCUCCUUUUUCUUCUUCUC